GGUUAAGUGAAUAAGGGCGCACGGUGGAUGCCUUGGCACUAGGAGCCGAUGAAGGACGGGACUAACACCGAUAUGCUUCGGGGAGCUGUAAGUAAGCUUUGAUCCGGAGAUUUCCGAAUGGGGGAACCCAGCAUCUUUUAUAGGAUGUUACUUUUCAGUGAAUACAUAGCUGAUUAGAGGUAGACGCAGAGAACUGAAACAUCUAAGUACCUGCAGGAAGAGAAAGAAAAAUCGAUUCCCUGAGUAGCGGCGAGCGAAACGGGAAAAGCCCAAACCAAGAGGCUUGCCUCUUGGGGUUGUAGGACUCCGAUAUGGUAGUCCAGUGAGAUAGUCGAAGGACCUGGAAAGGUCUGCUAGAAAGGGUAAAAGCCCCGUAGACAAAAUUUGACUGGCACCUAGGAGGAUCCUGAGUACGGCGGAACACGAGGAAUUCCGUCGGAAUCCGGGAGGACCAUCUCCCAAGGCUAAAUACUCCCUAGUGACCGAUAGUGAACCAGUACCGUGAGGGAAAGGUGAAAAGCACCCCGGAAGGGGAGUGAAAUAGAUCCUGAAACCGUGUGCCUACAACAAGUUAGAGCCCGUUAAUGGGUGAUAGCGUGCCUUUUGUAGAAUGAACCGGCGAGUUACGAUUACUUGCGAGGUUAAGUUGAAAAGACGGAGCCGCAGCGAAAGCGAGUCUGAAUAGGGCGAAUGAGUAAGUGGUCGUAGACCCGAAACCAUGUGAUCUACCCAUGUCCAGGUUGAAGGUGCGGUAAAACGCACUGGAGGACCGAACCCACGUACGUUGAAAAGUGCGGGGAUGAGGUGUGGGUAGCGGAGAAAUUCCAAACGAACUUGGAGAUAGCUGGUUCUCUCCGAAAUAGCUUUAGGGCUAGCCUCAGAGUAAGAAUGAUGGAGGUAGAGCACUGUUUGGACUAGGGGCCCAUCUCGGGUUACCGAAUUCAGAUAAACUCCGAAUGCCAUCCAUUCAUCUCUGGGAGUCAGACUGUGAGUGAUAAGAUCCAUAGUCGAAAGGGAAACAGCCCAGACCACCAGCUAAGGUCCCCAAAUAACUAUUAAGUGGAAAAGGAUGUGGGGUUGCACAGACAACUAGGAUGUUGGCUUAGAAGCAGCCACCAUUUAAAGAGUGCGUAAUAGCUCACUAGUCGAGUGACCCUGCGCCGAAAAUGUACCGGGGCUAAAUAGUUUACCGAAGCUGUGGAACACACCAAUAGGUGUGUUGGUAGGAGAGCGUUCUAAGGGCGUUGAAGGUAGAUCGUGAGGACUGCUGGAGCGCUUAGAAGUGAGAAUGCCGGUAUGAGUAGCGAAAGACAGGUGAGAAUCCUGUCCACCGAAUGACUAAGGUUUCCUGGGGAAGGCUCGUCCGCCCAGGGUUAGUCGGGACCUAAGCCGAGGCCGAUAGGCGUAGGCGAUGGAUAACAGGUUGAUAUUCCUGUACCCGUUGUUUUUGUUUGAGCAAUGGAGGGACGCAGGAGGCUAAGGAAUCAGACGAUUGGAAAUGUCUGUCCAAGCAAUAAGUCUUGAUGUGAGUCAAAUGCUUACGUCUUUAAGGACAAGUUGUGAUGGGGAGGGAAAUAAUAGUACCGAAGUUCCUGAUGUCACACUGCCGAGAAAAGCUUCUAGUGAGAAAACAAUGGCCCGUACCGCAAACCGACACAGGUAGUCGAGGAGAGAAUCCUAAGGUGAGCGAGAGAACUCUCGUUAAGGAACUCGGCAAAAUGACCCCGUAACUUCGGGAGAAGGGGUGCUGAUCUAACGAUCAGCCGCAGUGAAUAGGCCCAAGCGACUGUUUAUCAAAAACACAGGUCUCUGCAAAAUCGAAAGAUGACGUAUAGGGGCUGACGCCUGCCCGGUGCUGGAAGGUUAAGAGGAGUGCUUAGCG
Molecule: ribosomal RNA, 1882 nt
Filed under: Enterococcus raffinosus
Lineage: Bacteria; Bacillati; Bacillota; Bacilli; Lactobacillales; Enterococcaceae
Description: partial 23S ribosomal RNA
Rfam family: Bacterial large subunit ribosomal RNA
Source: RNAcentral